RNAcentral lists this ribosomal RNA (442 nucleotides) under uncultured bacterium. Its description in RNAcentral is "partial 16S ribosomal RNA". It matches the Rfam family "Bacterial small subunit ribosomal RNA", at positions 338 to 795 of the family's 1533-position model. The record is from RNAcentral.
CCUACGGGGGACAGCAGUAGGGAAUCUUUCACAAUGGGCGAAAGCCUGAUGGAGCAACGCCGCGUGCAGGAUGAAGGCCUUCGGGUUGUAAACUGCUUUUAUAAGCGAGAAAUAUGAUGGUAACUUAUGAAUCAGGAUCGGCUAACUACGUGCCAGCAGCCGCGGUCAUACGUAGGAUCCGAGCAUUAUCCGGAGUGACUGGGUGUAAAGAGUUGCGUAGGUGGCAUAAUAAGUAGCUAGUGAAAUCUGGUGGCUCAACCAUUCAGACUAUUAGCUAAACUGUUAAGCUCGAGACCGUUAGGGGUAACUGGAAUUUCUAGUGUAGGAGUGAAAUCCGUAGAUAUUAGAAGGAACACCAAUAGCGUAGGCAGGUUGCUGGGACGGGUCUGACACUAAGGCACGAAAGCGUAGGGAGCAAACGGGAUUAGAUACCCUGGUAGUC